This 594-nucleotide non-coding RNA is filed under the name Trichomonas vaginalis G3. Its description in RNAcentral is "Eukaryotic small subunit ribosomal RNA". It matches the Rfam family "Eukaryotic small subunit ribosomal RNA", at positions 1189 to 1831 of the family's 1831-position model. Lineage: Eukaryota; Parabasalia; Trichomonadida; Trichomonadidae. The record is from Rfam by way of RNAcentral.
CUUAAUUUGAAUCAACACGGGGAAACUUACCAGGACCAGAUGUUUUUUAUGACUGACAGGCUUCGGGUCUUUCAGGAUAUUGUUUUUGGUGGUGCAUGGCCGUUGGUGGUGCGUGGGUUGACCUGUCUAGCGUUGAUUCAGCUAACGAGCGAGAUUAUCGCCAAUUAUUUACUUUGCCGAAGUCCUUCGGUUAAAGUUCUAAUUGGGACUCCCUGCGAUUUUAGCAGGUGGAAGAGGGUAGCAAUAACAGGUCCGUGAUGCCCUUUAGAUGCUCUGGGCUGCACGCGUGCUACAAUGUUAGGAUCAAUAGGACUGCGAGCCUGAGAGGGUGCGCUACUCUUAUAAUCCCUAACGUAGUUGGGAUUGACGUUUGUAAUCAGCGUCAUGAACCAGGAAUCCCUUGUAAAUGUGUGUCAACAACGCACGUUGAAUACGUCCCUGCCCUUUGUACACACCGCCCGUCGCUCCUACCGAUUGGAUGACUCGGUGAAAUCACCGGAUGCUUACGAGCAGAAAGUGAUUAAAUCACGUUAUCUAGAGGAAGGAGAAGUCGUAACAAGGGUAACGGUAGGUGAACCUGCCGUUGGAUCAGUU